Branchiostoma floridae (Florida lancelet) is the source of this 741-nucleotide long non-coding RNA. RefSeq lists it as uncharacterized. The transcript is spliced from 2 exons. The record is from RefSeq and is a predicted model, not a curated record. Lineage: Eukaryota; Metazoa; Chordata; Leptocardii; Amphioxiformes; Branchiostomatidae.
AGUGGUAAGGAAGACACGAAUCUUCAGGAACUGGAGAAGAAGGCUGUUGCUAACGUGCAGACAAAAUUGGAGAAGGGAAUAUACAAGAUACAACAGCCUGCUGAAGACAGCCCGCCAGAGGACGUUGGAGGUGAACUGAAGUCGCUGAGCGAAAGGAUGACGAGUAUGGAGGGAGAUCUCAAAGCAAUAAGGACUCUAUUAGAGGAUCUUAACAAAAAAUAAUCAUAUCUACAGUUCCACAAACUAUAGUAAACGGACCAAGGCAUUGUCAUAACAGACAACUACAUCUGGACAGAUCUAGUUAUUUUGGGCAUGCAUAUGUGUUGUCCAUUAUCAUAUAAGUCUCUAGUUGUAAAUACAUUUUAUAUAGAUGCAAAAUGUUGACAUCCGUGCUAUGGUGCUUGCUUUGAUAGUUCAUAAAAUGUACAUCCAUAUGAAAGAGUACCAGUUUGUUUAUGCGUAGUUUUCAGCUUGUGGGCACAGCCUUACAUAUAAGGGGUAUAGUUUAGAAUUGCUACUUUCAGGUGAUGCUAUAAAUCUUGAAUAAUUAAGCGUCUGCAUGACAAUUACAAGUUAGAGGUAGUGUUUUUUUAAUGAUUAUCCAAAUUCAACUUCUGUAAGUUCAGAGAAAUUGGAUGAUGAAAUUUCAUUUUGUUCAUACUGUAUGACAUGAACGAGCUCAUCUCUGGUUUAGGUGCUAGAAUUGUGAAUGUAUGAAUCACAUUAAAACUUUAUCACUGU